Molecule: ribosomal RNA, 443 nt
Filed under: uncultured bacterium
Lineage: Bacteria
Description: partial 16S ribosomal RNA
Rfam family: Bacterial small subunit ribosomal RNA
Source: RNAcentral
CCUACGGGCGGCAGCAGUGGGGAAUAUUGCACAAUGGGGGAAACCCUGAUGCAGCGACGCCGCGUGAGUGAAGAAGUAUCUCGGUACGUAAAGCUCUAUCAGCAGGGAAGAAAGAAAUGACGGUACCUGACUAAGAAGCCCCGGCUAACUACGUGCCAGCAGCCGCGGUAAUACGUAGGGGGCAAGCGUUAUCCGGAUUUACUGGGUGUAAAGGGAGCGUAGACGGCGAUGCAAGUCUGAAGUGAAAGGCGGGGGCCCAACCCCCGGACUGCUUUUGAAACUGUAUGGCUGGAGUGCAGGGGAGGUAAGUGGAAUUCGUAGUGUAGCGGUGAAAUGCGUAGAUAUUAGGAGGAACACCAGUGGCGAAGGCGGCUUACUGGACUGUAACUGACGUUGAGGCUCGAAAGCGUGGGGAGCAAACAGGAUUAGAUACCCUAGUAGUC